This 633-nucleotide long non-coding RNA is filed under the name Eucalyptus grandis. Its description in RNAcentral is "long non-coding RNA (EGRA_LNC007980)". Lineage: Eukaryota; Viridiplantae; Streptophyta; Magnoliopsida; Myrtales; Myrtaceae. The record is from RNAcentral.
GUUGCGAAUUAGGAAAUAAAUCCUAAUUGGGAGUGCACUUAUCGCUCAAAUUUAGGAAUCAAGUAAUAUUCUCAAUCAAAUUGAAUCACAAAAUAUUCAAAUUGAUGGCAAACAAGAUAAUUACCUAAAUUCAAAUUAUUGAGUGGAUAAGUUUCCCAAAUCGAGAUGCCGGCUUAGAACGGUGGUCCAACGGCAAGGGCUCACGAAUGGCGGAGGCUACACGGCUCGUGAUGAGGGACUCCUUGGUGUCCGGCUGGGCAAGGUUGCUCGUGACGGGGGUUCAUCGGUGGCCGCUUGCGAUCUUGGAGUAGCAAAGCAGGAGACGUGAGUGGUUUGCAGCUUUGUCGCUGGGCUGUCGGCGCACAAAUUAGCUGCAAAGUAGAGUAAAAAACAGAGCAACGAACAAUCAAUUGCCGCGGCGGGGCUUGAGGAUUGGUGGUCGACAGUGGAUCGAUCAAGAAUCGUCGAUGGAGCAAGGUUGUCGGUGAAGAGUGUCGAGCUCCGAGCACGAAUGAGUAGUGCUGAGAUGCAUGGCGGUGAAGAGUGUUGGGCGCUCGAUGAUUUGCCGGGAAACCUACAAAAAAUAUCAAGAGUGCGCCCGUUCUGACCAAGAGCUCUCUUGGCCGCUGCUUG